Molecule: ribosomal RNA, 662 nt
Filed under: uncultured bacterium
Lineage: Bacteria
Description: bacterial SSU rRNA
Rfam family: Bacterial small subunit ribosomal RNA
Source: RNAcentral
UGCAGUCGAGGGGCAGCGGGGAGUAGCAAUACUUCGCCGGCGACCGGCGCACGGGUGAGUAACACGUGUGCAACCAACCCCGUACCGGGAGAUAACCCGCGGAAACGUGGACUAACAUCCCAUAAUACUGGAGGAUCGCAUGAUCUUUCAUUUAAAAUUCCGGUGGUACGGGACGGGCACGCGCGACAUUAGGUAGUUGGCGGGGUAACGGCCCACCAAGCCGACGAUGUCUAGGGGUUCUGAGAGGAAGGUCCCCCACACUGGAACUGAGACACGGUCCAGACUCCUACGGGAGGCAGCAGUGAGGAAUAUUGGUCAAUGGGCGCGAGCCUGAACCAGCCAAGUCGCGUGAGGGAAGAAUGGUCCAUGGCCUGUAAACCUCUUUUGUCAAGGAAGAAUAAAUUGCACGCGUGCGAUCUUGCCAGUACUUGACGAAUAAGCAUCGGCUAACUCCGUGCCAGCAGCCGCGGUAAUACGGGGGAUGCGAGCGUUAUCCGGAUUUAUUGGGUUUAAAGGGCGCGUAGGCGGGACGCCAGUCAGCGGUAAAAGACUGCAGCUAAACUGUAGCACGCCGUUGAAACUGGCGCCCUCGAGACGAGACGAGGGAGGCGGAACAAGUGAAGUAGCGGGUGAAAUGCUUAGAUAUCACUUGGAACCCCGAU